CCUACGGGUGGCAGCAGUGAGGAAUAUUGGUCAAUGGACGAGAGUCUGAACCAGCCAAGUCGCGUGAAGGAUGACUGCCCUAUGGGUUGUAAACUUCUUUUAUAUGGGAAUAAAAUCUUCCACGUGUGGGAGUUUGUAUGUACCAUAUGAAUAAGGAUCGGCUAACUCCGGGCCAGCCGCCGCGGUAAUACGGAGGAUCCGAGCGUUAUCCGGAUUUAUUGGGUUUAAAGGGAGCGUAGGUGGGUUGUUAAGUCAGUUGUGAAAGUUUGCGGCUCAACCUUAAAAGUGCAGUUGAAACUGGCAGUCUUGAGUACAGUAGAGGUAGGCGGAAUGCGUGGUGUAGCGGUGAAAUGCUUAGAUAUCACGAAGAACUCCGAUUGCGAAGGCAGCUCACUGGACUGCAACUGACACUGAGGCACGAAAGUGUGGGUAUCAAACAGGAUUAGAUACCCUGGUAGUC
This 460-nucleotide ribosomal RNA is filed under the name uncultured bacterium. RNAcentral's name for it is "partial 16S ribosomal RNA". It matches the Rfam family "Bacterial small subunit ribosomal RNA", at positions 338 to 795 of the family's 1533-position model. The record is from RNAcentral.